GACGAACGCUGGCGGCGUGCUUAACACAUGCAAGUCGAACGGUAAGGCCCUUCGGGGUACACGAGUGGCGAACGGGUGAGUAACACGUGGGUGAUCUGCCCUGCACUUCGGGAUAAGCCUGGGAAACUGGGUCUAAUACCGGAUAGGACCACUGCCUGCAUGGGUGGUGGUGGAAAGCUUUUGCGGUGUGGGAUGGGCCCGCGGGCUAUCAGCUUGUUGGUGGGGUGGUGGCCUACCAAGGCGACGACGGGUAGCCGGCCUGAGAGGGUGACCGGCCACACUGGGGCUGAGAUCCGGCCCAGACUCCUACGGGAGGCAGCAGUGGGGAAUAUUGCACAAUGGGCGCAAGCCUGAUGCAGCGACGCCGCGUGAGGGAUGACGGCCUUCGGGUUGUAAACCUCUUUCAGCACCGACGAAGCGCAAGUGACGGUAGGUGCAGAAGAAGGACCGGCCAACUACGUGCCAGCCGCCGCCGUAA
Molecule: ribosomal RNA, 478 nt
Filed under: uncultured bacterium
Lineage: Bacteria
Description: partial 16S ribosomal RNA
Rfam family: Bacterial small subunit ribosomal RNA
Source: RNAcentral